CAUGAUCUAACAAUCGAAAAUACAUCCAUCAUCAGAUACGACGGUUCAGACUCGUUGCCGACUUUAAAUAGGACUCUUCUGCACGAUCCGACGGUCCAGAAACGAUCCAUCAAGCGAUCGGAUGGUUGAGGAUGUUUUCAACUUUGAAUAGGAGUUCUUUUGCAUGAUCUGACAGUCAGAACUUCAUCAGAACCAAUCCCAGGCC
This 205-nucleotide long non-coding RNA is filed under the name Elaeis guineensis (African oil palm). RNAcentral describes it as "long non-coding RNA (EGUI_LNC082547)". Lineage: Eukaryota; Viridiplantae; Streptophyta; Magnoliopsida; Arecales; Arecaceae. The record is from RNAcentral.